Molecule: ribosomal RNA, 2923 nt
Filed under: Klebsiella pneumoniae
Lineage: Bacteria; Pseudomonadati; Pseudomonadota; Gammaproteobacteria; Enterobacterales; Enterobacteriaceae
Description: 23S ribosomal RNA
Rfam family: Bacterial large subunit ribosomal RNA
Source: RNAcentral
GGGUUGUGAGGUUAAGCGACUAAGCGUACACGGUGGAUGCCCUGGCAGUCAGAGGCGAUGAAGGACGUGCUAAUCUGCGAAAAGCGUCGGUAAGGUGAUAUGAACCGUUAUAACCGGCGAUGUCCGAAUGGGGAAACCCAGUGUGAUUCGUCACACUAUCGUUAACUGAAUACAUAGGUUAACGAGGCGAACCGGGGGAACUGAAACAUCUAAGUACCCCGAGGAAAAGAAAUCAACCGAGAUUCCCCCAGUAGCGGCGAGCGAACGGGGAGCAGCCCAGAGUCUGAAUCAGCUUGUGUGUUAGUGGAACGGUCUGGAAAGUCCGACGGUACAGGGUGAUAGUCCCGUACACCAAAAUGCACAGGGUGUGAACUCGAAGAGUAGGGCGGGACACGUGGUAUCCUGUCUGAAUAUGGGGGGACCAUCCUCCAAGGCUAAAUACUCCUGACUGACCGAUAGUGAACCAGUACCGUGAGGGAAAGGCGAAAAGAACCCCGGCGAGGGGAGUGAAAAAGAACCUGAAACCGUGUACGUACAAGCAGUGGGAGCACCUUCGGGUGUGACUGCGUACCUUUUGUAUAAUGGGUCAGCGACUUAUAUUCUGUAGCAAGGUUAACCGUAUAGGGGAGCCGCAGGGAAACCGAGUCUUAACUGGGCGUUAAGUUGCAGGGUAUAGACCCGAAACCCGGUGAUCUAGCCAUGGGCAGGUUGAAGGUUGGGUAACACUAACUGGAGGACCGAACCGACUAAUGUUGAAAAAUUAGCGGAUGACUUGUGGCUGGGGGUGAAAGGCCAAUCAAACCGGGAGAUAGCUGGUUCUCCCCGAAAGCUAUUUAGGUAGCGCCUCGUGAAUUCAUCUUCGGGGGUAGAGCACUGUUUCGGCUAGGGGGUCAUCCCGACUUACCAACCCGAUGCAAACUACGAAUACCGAAGAAUGUUAUCACGGGAGACACACGGCGGGUGCUAACGUCCGUCGUGAAGAGGGAAACAACCCAGACCGCCAGCUAAGGUCCCAAAGUCAUGGUUAAGUGGGAAACGAUGUGGGAAGGCAUAGACAGCCAGGAUGUUGGCUUAGAAGCAGCCAUCAUUUAAAGAAAGCGUAAUAGCUCACUGGUCGAGUCGGCCUGCGCGGAAGAUGUAACGGGGCUAAACCAUGCACCGAAGCUGCGGCAGCGACACUAUGUGUUGUUGGGUAGGGGAGCGUUCUGUAAGCCUGCGAAGGUGUGCUGUGAGGCAUGCUGGAGGUAUCAGAAGUGCGAAUGCUGACAUAAGUAACGAUAAAGCGGGUGAAAAGCCCGCUCGCCGGAAGACCAAGGGUUCCUGUCCAACGUUAAUCGGGGCAGGGUGAGUCGACCCCUAAGGCGAGGCCGAAAGGCGUAGUCGAUGGGAAACAGGUUAAUAUUCCUGUACUUGGUGUUACUGCGAAGGGGGGACGGAGAAGGCUAUGUUAGCCGGGCGACGGUUGUCCCGGUUUAAGCAUGUAGGCUGGUUGUCCAGGCAAAUCCGGAUAAUCAAGGCUGAGGUGUGAUGACGAGGCACUACGGUGCUGAAGUAACAAAUGCCCUGCUUCCAGGAAAAGCCUCUAAGCAUCAGGUAACAUCAAAUCGUACCCCAAACCGACACAGGUGGUCAGGUAGAGAAUACCAAGGCGCUUGAGAGAACUCGGGUGAAGGAACUAGGCAAAAUGGUGCCGUAACUUCGGGAGAAGGCACGCUGGUGUGUAGGUGAAGUCCCUGCGGAUGGAGCUGAGACCAGUCGAAGAUACCAGCUGGCUGCAACUGUUUAUUAAAAACACAGCACUGUGCAAACACGAAAGUGGACGUAUACGGUGUGACGCCUGCCCGGUGCCGGAAGGUUAAUUGAUGGGGUUAUCCGUAAGGAGAAGCUCUUGAUCGAAGCCCCGGUAAACGGCGGCCGUAACUAUAACGGUCCUAAGGUAGCGAAAUUCCUUGUCGGGUAAGUUCCGACCUGCACGAAUGGCGUAAUGAUGGCCAGGCUGUCUCCACCCGAGACUCAGUGAAAUUGAACUCGCUGUGAAGAUGCAGUGUACCCGCGGCAAGACGGAAAGACCCCGUGAACCUUUACUAUAGCUUGACACUGAACAUUGAGCCUUGAUGUGUAGGAUAGGUGGGAGGCUUUGAAGCGUGGACGCCAGUCUGCGUGGAGCCAACCUUGAAAUACCACCCUUUAAUGUUUGAUGUUCUAACGUUGGCCCCUUACCGGGGUUGCGGACAGUGUCUGGUGGGUAGUUUGACUGGGGCGGUCUCCUCCCAAAGCGUAACGGAGGAGCACGAAGGUUAGCUAAUCCUGGUCGGACAUCAGGAGGUUAGUGCAAUGGCAUAAGCUAGCUUGACUGCGAGCGUGACGGCGCGAGCAGGUGCGAAAGCAGGUCAUAGUGAUCCGGUGGUUCUGAAUGGAAGGGCCAUCGCUCAACGGAUAAAAGGUACUCCGGGGAUAACAGGCUGAUACCGCCCAAGAGUUCAUAUCGACGGCGGUGUUUGGCACCUCGAUGUCGGCUCAUCACAUCCUGGGGCUGAAGUAGGUCCCAAGGGUAUGGCUGUUCGCCAUUUAAAGUGGUACGCGAGCUGGGUUUAGAACGUCGUGAGACAGUUCGGUCCCUAUCUGCCGUGGGCGCUGGAGAAUUGAGGGGGGCUGCUCCUAGUACGAGAGGACCGGAGUGGACGCAUCACUGGUGUUCGGGUUGUCAUGCCAAUGGCACUGCCCGGUAGCUAAAUGCGGAAGAGAUAAGUGCUGAAAGCAUCUAAGCACGAAACUUGCCCCGAGAUGAGUUCUCCCUGAGACUUUAAGUCUCCUGAAGGAACGUUAAAGACGAUGACGUUGAUAGGCCGGGUGUGUAAGCGCAGCGAUGCGUUGAGCUAACCGGUACUAAUGAACCGUGAGGCUUAACCUUACAACGCCGAAG